CACGUAGGGUGCGAGCGUUGUCCGGAUUUACUGGGCGUAAAGAGCGCGCAGGCGGCUGGUCAAGUCCGAUGUGAAAGCUCCCGGCUUAACUGGGAAACGGCAUCGGAAACUGAUCGGCUUGAAGGUGGGAGAGGGUAGUGGAAUUCCCGGUGUAGUGGUGAAAUGCGUAGAUAUCGGGAGGAACACCAGUGGCGAAGGCGACUACCUGGCCCACUCUUGACGCUGAGGCGCGAAAGCUAGGGGAGCAAACGGG
Molecule: ribosomal RNA, 253 nt
Filed under: uncultured bacterium
Lineage: Bacteria
Description: partial 16S ribosomal RNA
Rfam family: Bacterial small subunit ribosomal RNA
Source: RNAcentral